AUGAACGCUGGCGGCGUGCCUCAUACCUGCCAGUCGAGCGCACAGACGAGGAGCUUGCUCCUCUGACGUUAGCGGCGGACGGGUGAGUAACACGUGGAUAACCUACCUAUAAGACUGGGAUAACUUCGGGAAACCGGAGCUAAUACCGGAUAAUAUAUUGAACCGCAUGGUUCAAUAGUGAAAGACGGUUUUGCUGUCACUUAUAGAUGGAUCCGCGCCGCAUUAGCUAGUUGGUAAGGUAACGGCUUACCAAGGCAACGAUGCGUAGCCGACCUGAGAGGGUGAUCGGCCACACUGGAACUGAGACACGGUCCAGACUCCUACGGGAGGCAGCAGUAGGGAAUCUUCCGCAAUGGGCGAAAGCCUGACGGAGCAACGCCGCGUGAGUGAUGAAGGUCUUCGGAUCGUAAAACUCUGUUAUUAGGGAAGAACAAAUGUGUAAGUAACUAUGCACGUCUUGACGGUACCUAAUCAGAAAGCCACGGCUAACUACGUG
RNAcentral lists this ribosomal RNA (496 nucleotides) under uncultured bacterium. RNAcentral's name for it is "partial 16S ribosomal RNA". It matches the Rfam family "Bacterial small subunit ribosomal RNA", at positions 29 to 507 of the family's 1533-position model. The record is from RNAcentral.